Molecule: transfer RNA, 67 nt
Filed under: Marmota monax (woodchuck)
Lineage: Eukaryota; Metazoa; Chordata; Mammalia; Rodentia; Sciuridae
Description: tRNA.Ala
Source: RNAcentral
GGAUUGUGGCUCAGUGGUAGAGCGCUGUCUUGCAUGUGCGAGGCACUGGGUUCAAUUCUCAGCACCA